GACGGUGAUGUCUUAAUCCUAUUCCAUUGCUGAAAACUUCCAAUGUGGAAAUUUCCUGGCUGAUGUU
Small nucleolar RNA from Nematolebias whitei (Rio pearlfish), 67 nucleotides. RefSeq annotates it as small nucleolar RNA SNORD98. The record is from RefSeq and is a predicted model, not a curated record. Lineage: Eukaryota; Metazoa; Chordata; Actinopteri; Cyprinodontiformes; Rivulidae. The transcript has a single exon.